CUUUGUGGGUUCUUGUGGUUUAUGGGUAUUUUGUAAAUUACAGUGUGGAUAUUAGGAAAUUGCCUGUUUUUGGCGAUCCUGUGAUAUGGGUUUGUGAGAAUUUAUCAUGUUCUCAUGAUUUUAGUUGGGGGUCAGUUGCUGGAUUUUCUUUUGGUGGGUAUGGAGUGCAUGUGGAGAUCUGUGCUUCAGUUUCUUGAUCUGCAAAUUAUGCUUUGUUGAUGGGCAGUAGAAGGUUUCCUUUAUGUUGUCUGCAUCUGUUAAGUGUUAGUGCUAUGUUUCUUAGCUAUCUACUUUGUGGGUUCUUGUGGUUUAUGGGUAUUUACUAUUUAUAUGCGGUAUGUAAUACGGAGUACUAUCUACUCCUGAGUUCUGGGUGCUGGUGAUGUAUGAGUAUCUUGUGAAGUUUUUGGUAAACCUAAGUUGUUAUCUACUCUGUGGGUUCUUGUGAUCUAUGGGUAUUUUGUGGAAUUAUGGUGUGGAUAUUGGAAAUUGACUGGUUUUGGAGAUCCUGUGGAAUGGGUUUGUGAGGAUAUAUCAUAUUGCUGUGAUUUUGGAGAGGGGUUAGUUGCUGGGUUUUUCUUUUGGUAGAUGUUGAGUAUAUAUGGAGAUCUGCACUUUGGUUUCUUGAUCUGCAAAUUAUGCUUUGUUGAUGGGCAGUAGAAAGGUUUCUGUUUAUGUUGUCUGCAUCUGGUGGAUAAACAUUUGUUACCUGGAUUAAUAUUCAGUUCGUGCAAAUGGAUCCAACGGCUGAAGAGCAAUUAGAUUAUGGAGAUGAGGAAUACGUAGGGGCUCAAAAGAUGCAGUAUCGUGGAUCUGGAACUAUUUCUGCUCUUGUAGAUGAUGAGAUAAUAGGUGAAGACGACGACUAUGAUGAUCUCUAUAAUGAUGUGAAUGUUGGAGAAGGUUUCUUGCAGCUGCAGCGUUCUGAGGCACCAUUGUCGGUAAGCAAGGGCGGACUCCAAGAACAGAAAACUAGUCUUCAUGAACCUAGAGCAGAAGUUGCAGUCUCACAACUGCCAAGUGCCCAUGGAGUUGGAACUGAAGGGAAGUAUCCGAUCUCUGGGACCCGUUUUCCUGAGCCAAAGGAGGGAUUGGCAGCUGAUAUGGGGCGAGUGGGAACCACUGAUGUUACUCAAACGGGAAGGGUUCAUGGGUUGAUGCACGAUGCCCAAACAGGAAAUUUGGGCUUUCAAGGAUCAAAUCCUAUGCCUCAGAAAAUUGGAGUUGAUACUGGUGGAAUCUCUGUAAGAGUUGCCACAGAGUCAGCUCCCCUGCUGAACUCUGCCACAGGAGGCCCUCGGGUUGUUCCACCGAAGCCAGAUAUGGGUGUAAAUGUGAAUGUUAACCGUGCAAUGGCUAAUAAUGAAAACCAGGUUCGGCCACCUAUAGAGAAUGGUUCCACCAUGCUCUUUGUGGGAGAGCUACAUUGGUGGACUACUGAUGCAGAGCUUGAGAGUGUGCUAUCUCAAUAUGGGAGGGUGAAGGAGAUCAAGUUCUUCGAUGAGAGAGCUAGUGGCAAAUCCAAAGGCUAUUGUCAAGUUGAAUUCUACGACACAUCUGCUGCAUCUGCAUGCAAAGAAGGAAUGAAUGGUUAUAAUUUUAAUGGGCGAGCUUGUGUGGUGGCAUUUGCUUCUCCGCAAACCAUCAGGCAGAUGGCUACUUCUUAUAUGAACAAAAACCAGCCUCAGACUCAGCCUCAGUCUCAGACUCAGCCACAGGGGAGGAGGCCAAUGAAUGAUGGUGCAGGGAGAGGUGGCGGGAUGAAUCAACCCAGUGGAGAUGGAGGGAGGAACUUUGGAAGAGGUGGAUGGGGACGAGGGCAGGGAGUACUCAAUAGAGGUCCUGGGGGUGGACCCAUGAGGGGAAGAGGUGGGCCUAUGGGAGGAAGGAACAUGGUUGGAAACACUUCUGGUUUUGGUAGUGGGCCCAUUGGAGGAGGAGCAUAUGGGCAAGGCCUUGGAGGCCCGGGUUUUGGUGGUUUGAUGCCUUCUCAAGGUAUGAUGGCUGCUGGAUUCGAUCCAACUUAUAUGGCUAGAGGAGCAGGCUAUGGAGGCUUUCCGGGUCCCACUUUCCCUGGGAUGCUUCCUUCGUUCCAAGCUGUUAAUCCGAUGGGACUUGCUGGGGUGGCUCCUCAUGUCAACCCGGCUUUCUUCGGCAGAGGAAUGGCGGCUAGCGGAAUGCAAAUGAUGGGGCCCACUGGGAUGGAUGGCCAUCAUGCAGGAAUGUGGACCGACACUAGCAUGGGUGGUGGGGGAGGGGAAGAACAUGGCGGCCGAAGGACAAGGGAAUCGAGUUAUGGUGGUGAUGACGGUGCUUCUGAAUAUGGAUAUGGUGAGGGAAGCUACGAGAAGGGAACUAGGUCAAAUGCUGGGUCCUGGGAAAAGGAAAGGGGUUCUGAGCGUGAUUGGUCAGGAAAUUCUGAGAAGAGGCAUCGUGAUGGGAGGGAGAUGGAAAGGGAUAGGUCCGACAGGAAUCACACAUAUAGAGAGGACAAGGAUGGUUACCGGCCAAGAGAGCGUGAUGAGGGCUAUGAUGAUGACUGGGAUAGAGGACAAUCUUCUUCAAGAUCACGGAGCAGGUCCAAAGCUAUUCCGGAGGAGGAUCAUAGGCGAUCGAGGGAUGGGGAUUAUGGAAAGCGGAGACGCCUUCCAUCAGAGUGAUGCUACAAAGUGCUUUAUUCUUCUUAUACAGGUCAUUUGGCACCUGGUCCUGAGGAUUCUCUAUUAACAUAUCUGGUCAUCAGAUUACUAGGGUGCAUCUAGCAUCGGUCUUUCUGAUUCUUAUGGCCCCACAUGCAGUUAAAGUAGCGAGUUGGCAACUUUCUGUUUUUUGAUUGAAUCAGCUUAUGUUGGUUCUCGAGGAAGAUGGGUAAAAUUGGCUGCUCUUCCCUGAAUUUCUCUGAAAAUCAUCGGUCUGCUAGUAUGCCAAAGAAGCCUUAAAACCAUAUCAUCAUUCUUUUCUCACUUCCUCAAAAAACAUUAAAUUAAAGUACCGUGCUCCUGGAAGAAAACAUUAAGUUCUUCAAUGCCUCCACAAUACCUUCCAGUCUGCUUGAAGAGUACUCUUUGGUCCCUUUUGUAAACCAAUUUUCUUGUAUUAUGUUUGCUAAAUAGCAACAUGUAAUUGGCUUGUCUCCAUUUUUUACGCGAGGCUUGCCAUUUCCUUUUUAAAGGUCUUGUACAAAAUUUGAGGACCAUUGUUGCUCAUAGUUGAUUUGUUGUAUCUGAUAAUGUUGAUUAUUUUCAAUAGGAGAGUUAGUUUGUAGAUUGUAUCAUGAGGUCACUGAUCCAUUUGUAAGUGGUCAUUGUAAGAUCUCAAGUUGGUGGUCUAUUAGUGUUGCUUUCUUCCAUGUACGGAGUAUGGACAAAGAAUAUCGGAUGUAUCUUAUUAUCAUGUAAAGUUCAAGAGGCAGUCCCAUAUAGGAGUUAAGUUGUUGUAUAUUACUACUUUACUGUAAUAGGCCAGAAGGGGAAGAGGAGGUGUCAUUUGCAGUUGUUUUCCUGAUAUAUGUUGUAAUAACUGUUUCUGGUGUAGUUUCUUUUUCCUUCCCCCUUUUGGUAGUGGGGUUUUGUGUAUCUGUUUAGGUGUGUUUCUCUUGUAAGAUCAUGUCACUAAGUUUUGACUCGAUUGAUAAAUGGAAUGUAGACUUUUGCAUACAA
RNA transcript from Rhododendron vialii, 3659 nucleotides. RefSeq lists it as uncharacterized. The transcript is spliced from 3 exons. The record is from RefSeq and is a predicted model, not a curated record. Lineage: Eukaryota; Viridiplantae; Streptophyta; Magnoliopsida; Ericales; Ericaceae.